UGAGGCCCCUGACUCAACCUGUCAUU
Molecule: non-coding RNA, 26 nt
Filed under: Mus musculus (house mouse)
Lineage: Eukaryota; Metazoa; Chordata; Mammalia; Rodentia; Muridae
Source: RNAcentral